This 1036-nucleotide small RNA is filed under the name Arabidopsis thaliana (thale cress). Its description in RNAcentral is "ATSL171070". Lineage: Eukaryota; Viridiplantae; Streptophyta; Magnoliopsida; Brassicales; Brassicaceae. The record is from RNAcentral.
AAAAAAAAUGAUUAAGCUUUAGUAGAAUGCUAAAGGUAAGUCCCAAUCUAUGCAUACAGAGAUAAGAUCCCAUCUACCCAGAGUACAUCAAAUGAAGCUCUAAUGGUAAUCCUAUCUCCAAUCCCAAUACAAGAACUAAACUCUACCCUUUGCGUUCAUGAAUCUUUUAAGCCCUUUUUCUAAUCAUUCUUUUCUCUUCUCUUAACUCUAGGCGAAGCUUCAACACCUUGAUAUAUCUAGCGGAUUUGGAUUUCUUUAACAACUAAGGUUCCUGUUUUUAACAUUUUAAAACCAAGGGCUUUUGCCCAUCUUCAAUAGCUAACAAGAACUCUUUCUUUUCUUUACAAAUCCCAAAACCUUUACUAGACUUUUUCUGCUUUUUUAGCUUACUUCACCUAGAGUCCUUUACCUUUUCUCAUCAAUUAAUCAACCUCCCCUUUUUUUUUUCUUUUAAACACAUCCCAACCCAAAGUAUAAGCACCCACCUAGUCCUAUCUAGUCCGGAAAAUGCGAACUAGAACUACAUGAGACACUAUCUCUGUCGUUACGAACCUAACACUUUCUACCAAGCUUAAUCGGAAUAAGACCUCACAAACACUCACAAGUGAUAUAGGGCUUGAAAGAAAGUCUAGGUUUGGGUUUGGGUUAACUGCUCUAAUAAGGAGAGUCAGCUACUUGGAUUAACAAGAGUGAUCAAAAUGAAUAAGAGAAUCCAAGUAUUUUAGGGUAUCCAUGAGUUCAAAUUUGAUGCAGACAUGAUAAUUAAAGAUCAGAUUCAGGUUCAAAUUGAUAGGGAAUGGUAUCAGAUCAUGACAGUGUGGUCGAGUGAGAGCAAUCUAGGCAUGGUUCAGUUUUAUUUCAAAUUCAUCGACUAUGCAACAGACUACUAGCAACGAGGGCACUGAGUUUAUCCGGUGAAUCAAAAUGCUUACAAGGCUAUCUCAUCAUCAUCCCCUAUGCAUAUGCAACAAUCCUAAAUGAAACACUCUAGACUCGAUCCUAAAUGUGAUGCAACUACAUGAACAUUCUUUUUUUU